CAAUAGCGUAUAUUUAAGUUGCUGCAGUUAAAAAGCUCGUAGUUGGAUUUCGGGUGGGAAUGGCCGGUCCGCCGUUUCGGUGUGCACUUGCUACGCCCACCUUGCUGCCGGGGACGUGCUCUUGAGUUCACGCUCGGGACACGGAGUCGGCGAGGUUACUUUGAGUAAAUUAGAGUGUUCAAAGCAGGCCUACGCUCUGAAUACAUUAGCAUGGAAUAACACGAUAGGACUCUGGCCUAUCUUGUUGGUCUGUAGGACCGGAGUAAUGAUUAAGAGGGACAGUCGGGGGCACUCGUAUUUCAUUGUCAGAGGUGAAAUUCUUGGAUUUAUGAAGGACGAACUACUGCGAAAGCAUUUGCCAAGGAUGUUUUCAUUAA
Molecule: ribosomal RNA, 377 nt
Filed under: uncultured eukaryote
Lineage: Eukaryota
Description: partial 18S ribosomal RNA
Rfam family: Eukaryotic small subunit ribosomal RNA
Source: RNAcentral